GACGAACGCUGGCGGCGUGCUUAACACAUGCAAGUCGAACGGAAAGGCCCUGCUUUUGUGGGGUGCUCGAGUGGCGAACGGGUGAGUAACACGUGAGUAACCUGCCCUUGACUUUGGGAUAACUUCAGGAAACUGGGGCUAAUACCGGAUAGGAGCUCCUGCUGCAUGGUGGGGGUUGGAAAGUUUCGGCGUUUGGGGAUGGACUGGCGGCUUAUCAGCUUGUUGGUGGGGUAGUGGCUUACCAAGGCUUUGGCGGGUAGCCGGCCUGAGAGGGGGACCGGCCACAUUGGGCCUGAGAUACGGCCCAGACUCCUACGGGGGGCAGCAGUGGGGAAUAUUGCACAAUGGGCCGAAGCCUGAUGCAGCAACGCCGCGGGCGGGAAGCCGGCCUUCGGGGUGUAAAACGCAUUCGCCUGUGACGAAGCGUGGGUGACGGUAAUGGGUAAAGAAGCACCGGCUAACUACGUG
RNAcentral lists this ribosomal RNA (468 nucleotides) under uncultured bacterium. RNAcentral describes it as "partial 16S ribosomal RNA". It matches the Rfam family "Bacterial small subunit ribosomal RNA", at positions 28 to 507 of the family's 1533-position model. The record is from RNAcentral.